AGCCAGAGACAUAGUCACUGACUGCCUUCCAUAUCUGCCUAUGACAUGACAGGGAAACAACAGUCCAGAACUGCCUCUAAAUCUUCCCCAUGGCCUUUCCAUGUGGCUAACUUCUUCGUGCACAGUUGCUCCAUUGGAAAUUCAGAGGAGUGCUAGUUCUGCCUUAAGCUGCUGGCCCAGCUUCUCAAGAUGACAGACUACAAGCUAAAGAUGAAAUAAACUCUCUUC
Long non-coding RNA from Mus caroli (Ryukyu mouse), 228 nucleotides. RefSeq lists it as uncharacterized. NCBI's taxonomy places the organism in Eukaryota, Metazoa, Chordata, Mammalia, Rodentia, Muridae. The record is from RefSeq and is a predicted model, not a curated record.